GUCCUUUCUGUGACGUAGCCAAAAAACUAUGAAGUAAUUUUCUUUCCUCCAUUGCUUUCACGUGGUCUCUGAGAAGAAAGGACACAAGCUUCAUAAAACAUAGGACAGUGCUAUCCCCCAACUCCAGUGACGUACAGGAAAGAGAGACAGAGGAGGAAAAAUGGAGUAUAUCCAAAAGAAGUUUGGAAGGCAGAGCAAAAGAAAACUGAAAUUUUUCAUAUAAAGAGAUAAAAAGAAGUCAUUAGGGGGCUUCCCUGGUGGCGCAGUGGUUAAG
Long non-coding RNA from Balaenoptera ricei (Rice's whale), 274 nucleotides. RefSeq lists it as uncharacterized. The record is from RefSeq and is a predicted model, not a curated record. The transcript has 3 exons. NCBI's taxonomy places the organism in Eukaryota, Metazoa, Chordata, Mammalia, Artiodactyla, Balaenopteridae.